GGGAAUGUAGCUUAGUGGUAGAGUGCUUGCCUAGAAUGCAUGAGGCCCUGGGUUCAAUUCCUCAGUACCA
RNAcentral lists this transfer RNA (70 nucleotides) under Dipodomys ordii (Ord's kangaroo rat). It matches the Rfam family "tRNA". Rfam says of the family: Transfer RNA (tRNA) molecules are approximately 80 nucleotides in length. Their secondary structure includes four short double-helical elements and three loops (D, anti-codon, and T loops). Lineage: Eukaryota; Metazoa; Chordata; Mammalia; Rodentia; Heteromyidae. The record is from Rfam by way of RNAcentral.